GGAGGGGUGGCAGAGUGGCCGAUUGCUCCGGUCUUGAAAACCGGUGUGGGAGAAAUCCCACCGAGGGUUCGAAUCCCUCCUCCUCCG
Molecule: transfer RNA, 87 nt
Filed under: Planctomycetota bacterium
Lineage: Bacteria; Pseudomonadati; Planctomycetota
Description: Planctomycetes bacterium (freshwater metagenome) tRNA-Ser
Rfam family: tRNA
About the family: Transfer RNA (tRNA) molecules are approximately 80 nucleotides in length. Their secondary structure includes four short double-helical elements and three loops (D, anti-codon, and T loops).
Source: RNAcentral